UUGUAAUACGAACCGGUGCUAAAGGGUCUCUGCCCCGACAGCACCUGUCAGUAGCCGGUGGGCAGGACCCUUUAGCAUCGUUUCGUGUUACAAA
MicroRNA precursor from Sorghum bicolor (sorghum), 94 nucleotides. It matches the Rfam family "MIR5387 microRNA precursor family". NCBI's taxonomy places the organism in Eukaryota, Viridiplantae, Streptophyta, Magnoliopsida, Poales, Poaceae. The record is from Rfam.